Molecule: ribosomal RNA, 465 nt
Filed under: Vreelandella stevensii
Lineage: Bacteria; Pseudomonadati; Pseudomonadota; Gammaproteobacteria; Oceanospirillales; Halomonadaceae
Description: partial 16S ribosomal RNA
Rfam family: Bacterial small subunit ribosomal RNA
Source: RNAcentral
CCUACGGGAGGCAGCAGUGGGGAAUAUUGGACAAUGGGGGGAACCCUGAUCCAGCCAUGCCGCGUGUGUGAAGAAGGCCCUCGGGUUGUAAAGCACUUUCAGUGAGGAAGAACGCCUGGUGGUUAAUACCCAUCAGGAAAGACAUCACUCACAGAAGAAGCACCGGCUAACUCCGUGCCAGCAGCCGCGGUAAUACGGAGGGUGCGAGCGUUAAUCGGAAUUACUGGGCGUAAAGCGCGCGUAGGUGGCUUGAUAAGCCGGUUGUGAAAGCCCCGGGCUCAACCUGGGAACGGCAUCCGGAACUGUCAAGCUAGAGGGCAGGAGAGGAAGGUAGAAUUCCCGGUGUAGCGGUGAAAUGCGUAGAGAUCGGGAGGAAUACCAGUGGCGAAGGCGGCCUUCUGGACUGACACUGACACUGAGGUGCGAAAGCGUGGGUAGCAAACAGGAUUAGAUACCCUGGUAGUC